UGCGUAGGCGGAUCAAUAAGUCAGUGGUGAAAUCUCUCGGCUCAACCGGGAAACUGCCAUUGAUACUGUUGAUCUUGAGUUCGGUUGAGGUAGGCGGAAUGUGUAAUGUAGCGGUGAAAUACUUAGAUAUUACACAGAACACCAAUUGCGUAGGCAGCUUACUAGACCGACACUGACGCUGAGGCACGAAAGCGUGGGGAGCGAACAGGAUUAGAUACCCUGGUAGUCC
Molecule: ribosomal RNA, 229 nt
Filed under: uncultured bacterium
Lineage: Bacteria
Description: partial 16S ribosomal RNA
Rfam family: Bacterial small subunit ribosomal RNA
Source: RNAcentral